This is a small nuclear RNA of Suricata suricatta (meerkat), 134 nucleotides long. Its record names the gene U2. It matches the Rfam family "U2 spliceosomal RNA". Rfam says of the family: U2 is a small nuclear RNA (snRNA) component of the spliceosome (involved in pre-mRNA splicing). Complementary binding between U2 snRNA (in an area lying towards the 5' end but 3' to hairpin I) and the branchpoint sequence (BPS) of the intron results the bulging out of an unpaired adenosine, on the BPS, which initiates a nucleophilic attack at the intronic 5' splice site, thus starting the first of two transesterification reactions that mediate splicing. The record is from Ensembl. NCBI's taxonomy places the organism in Eukaryota, Metazoa, Chordata, Mammalia, Carnivora, Herpestidae.
AUUGCUUCUUGGCCUUUUGGCUAAGAUCAAAAGUAGUAUCUGUUCUGUUCAGCUUAAUAAAUUUAUAGCAGGAUUAUCUCCAAAAUCUCAUCUAAACAUGUUCUUUCUUAAACUACUCCAAUCACUAACUCAUU